Molecule: transfer RNA, 73 nt
Filed under: Emiliania huxleyi
Lineage: Eukaryota; Haptophyta; Isochrysidales; Noelaerhabdaceae
Also listed under: 1 other name
Rfam family: tRNA
About the family: Transfer RNA (tRNA) molecules are approximately 80 nucleotides in length. Their secondary structure includes four short double-helical elements and three loops (D, anti-codon, and T loops).
Source: Rfam by way of RNAcentral
UCCCUCAUAGUCUAGGUGGUUAGGAUAUGCGGCUCUCACCCGCAAGACCCGGGUUCAACUCCCGGUGAGGGAA